GGCGCUGGUGGCUCAGUUGGUAGAGCUCGCGCACCACGUACAGAGGCUAUAGUCCUAAACGCGGUUGUCCUGGGUUCGAUUCCAGAUCUCGGGCCA
Molecule: non-coding RNA, 96 nt
Organism: Ataeniobius toweri
Lineage: Eukaryota; Metazoa; Chordata; Actinopteri; Cyprinodontiformes; Goodeidae
Source: the annotation of a GenBank genome assembly